This 30-nucleotide non-coding RNA is filed under the name Rattus norvegicus (Norway rat). Lineage: Eukaryota; Metazoa; Chordata; Mammalia; Rodentia; Muridae. The record is from RNAcentral.
UUAAAUAACAAGUCAUUGCAUAGUUGUAUU